UACGGGGGGGGUAAGCGUUGUUCGGAAUUACUGGGCGUAAAGGGCUCGUAGGCGGCCAACUAAGUCAGACGUGAAAUCCCUCAGCUUAACUGGGAACUGCGUCUGAUACUGGAUGGCUUGGAUUCGGGAGAGGAAUGCGGAAUUCCAGGUGUAGCGGUGAAAUGCGUAGAUAUCUGGAGGAACACCGGUGGCGAAGGCGGCAUUCUGGACCGAUAUUGACGCUGAGGAGCGAAAGCCAGGGGAGCAAACGGG
This 252-nucleotide ribosomal RNA is filed under the name uncultured bacterium. RNAcentral describes it as "partial 16S ribosomal RNA". It matches the Rfam family "Bacterial small subunit ribosomal RNA", at positions 524 to 776 of the family's 1533-position model. The record is from RNAcentral.